Molecule: ribosomal RNA, 508 nt
Filed under: uncultured bacterium
Lineage: Bacteria
Description: bacterial SSU rRNA
Rfam family: Bacterial small subunit ribosomal RNA
Source: RNAcentral
AGAAACUGGCGGCGUGCUAAUAUGCAAGUCGAGUGAACGGACGAGAAGCUUGCUUCUCUGAUGUUAGCGGCGGACGGGUGAGUAACACGUGGAUAACCUACCUAUAAGACUGGGACAACUUCGGGAAACCGGAGCUAAUACCGGAUAAUAUUUUGAACCGCAUGGUUCAAUAGUGAAAGACGGUCUUGCUGUCACUUAUAGAUGGAUCCGCGCUGCAUUAGCUAGUUGGUAAGGUAACGGCUUACCAAGGCAACGAUGCAUAGCCGACCUGAGAGGGUGAUCGGCCACACUGGAACUGAGGCACGGUCCAGACUCCUACGGGAGGCAGCAGUAGGGAAUCUUCCGCAAUGGGCGAAAGCCUGACGGAGCAACGCCGCGUGAGUGAUGAAGGUCUUCGGAUCGUAAAACUCUGUUAUUAGGGAAGAACAUAUGUGUAAGUAACUGUGCACAUCUUGACGGUACCUAAUCAGAAAGCCACGGCUAACUACGUGCCAGCAGCCGCGGUAAU